AAACCAUUUAGGGGUUAAGCCCGAUGAACCCGAAUAUCUGAAAUGAGAAAUUCAAUAUUAUUAUGUUAUAGCAUAUUAUGUAUAUAAUAUAAAUAGUGUGCACUUUUCUCAUUAGUAAGACAUUGCAAUCCAUUAGUUUAUACAAUUGUAUAUUAUUUAUCAUAAGGCCAAUUUGUAUUGUUCAUUAUUUUAUAUAUAUUUAUUAUGUAUGGAUAAUAAUGAAUUCAAUUUGUGACCAGAUAAAUAGCUGAUGGUGUUUAAAAAUCAUAUUCACAUUAUUUAUGUGUAACACAUUUAUAUGUAUUUUAUAUGUAUAUUGUAGUGUUAAUAUGUAUUUGAUUGGCAAUGCGUUUGAUUUGGGAUACCUUCGGGACCCGUCUUGAAACACGGACCAAGGAGUCUAACAUGUGCGCAAGUCAUUAGGAUAUUUAAAACCUAAGGGCAUAAUUAACGUAACUGUAUUUUAUAUAUAUGGGAUUACAAAUAAUUGAUAUAAAAAAUUAUUUUUUCAUCUCAGGGCGUUUUAUAUUGAACAUGUUUGGCAUUUUUAAUGUUUGACCUCUGUUCAAAAGCGUACCUUGAGCGUACAUGCUGU
Molecule: ribosomal RNA, 595 nt
Filed under: Scatopse notata
Lineage: Eukaryota; Metazoa; Arthropoda; Insecta; Diptera; Scatopsidae
Description: eukaryotic LSU rRNA
Source: RNAcentral